CAGCCAUAUCAAGUGAAAAAAAGAGCGACGUGAAAUACUAACGGAGAAGAAGCGGCUGUUAUUACGAGAUUGAUACACUGGGUUAAGGUCAGCGGGGUAGUUUCUAAAUGACAGUCAGCCUUGUGCUUGAUUUAGGCGCUGUUGAAGCUGCUCAGCAUUAUGUUUCUUUUAUGCGGAUAAUGACAUUGCUGGGACACUUUGACAUCGAUCCUCCUAAGAACGGAAUAAUAAACUGAACCUGCUUCGCGCUGUUUCAUGUGACCCAGUAGUUUGCUUCUGGAGAAAACGAGCCAAAUGAUGUCAGGAAUGCAUUACAAGGGUCAAGAAGUCAGCUGCUGCAUCAAAUAUUUCAUAUUUGGAUUUAACAUCAUAUUUUGGUUGCUCGGGAUGGCUUUCCUUGGAAUCGGAUUAUGGGCUUGGAGUGAGAAGGGCGUUCUGUCUAACAUCUCGUCCAUCACGGAUAUGGGUGGAUUUGAUCCAGUGUGGUUGUUCGUGGUAGUUGGAGGGGUGAUGUUCAUCCUGGGUUUCGCUGGCUGUAUCGGGGCCCUGAGGGAAAACACCUUACUGCUCAAAUUUUUCUCUGUGUUUCUGGGGAUAAUCUUCUUCCUGGAGCUGACUACCGGUAUCCUGGCCUUUGUCUUUAAAGACUGGAUUAAAGAUCAGCUCAACUUUUUCAUCAACAACAACAUACGAGCCUACAGAGAUGACAUUGACUUGCAGAACCUCAUCGACUUCACUCAGGAAUAUUGGGAAUGCUGUGGGGCGUUUGGAGCAGAUGACUGGAACCUCAACGUUUACUUCAACUGCACGGACAGUAACCCCAGCCGAGAAAAAUGUGGCGUGCCCUUCUCCUGUUGCACCAAAGACCCAGCGGAAGAUGUUAUCAACACACAGUGUGGAUAUGAUGUUCGGGCAAAAUCGGACGCAGAGCAGAAGACAUACAUUCAUGUCAAAGGCUGUGUGCCGCAGUUUGAGAGAUGGCUACAGGACAACCUGACCGUAGUGGCUGGGAUCUUCAUCGGCAUCGCUCUGCUGCAGAUAUUUGGAAUAUGCCUUGCACAGAAUUUAAUCAGUGAUAUUGAAGCUGUGAGAGCCAGCUGGGUGCCGCCCCCCUCUUUCGUCGCCCGCCGCCCCCCGUCCCACUCCAGCAAGAAAGGCUCGGUGUACUCCUGAGGGAGGUUGGCCUGUUUGUUCACAUGAGAUGGCAGCUAGUCGUUCAGACACUCACAGGCCUGUGCCAGAACGGUGCGCUGGAUCCUGUGUGCAUGUGCACCGUCACCUUUUACCAUCUGUAAAUAGUGCUACUUUUUUAAAACACUUAUUGUGUAAUGUGAAAAAAUGUCUGUGUCCACAGAGUUGCGUUAAACAAAAAAAAAAAAAAAAAAAAUCCACCGCUGCAGAAGCAUUUCAAAAAGCAUAAUUCAAAAUAAUCUGUCACUUUAGGAAAAUGUAAAUACUAGGCAAAGACAUAUAUGAAAUGUUUUUAUGUAACAUGAAUCGGGUGCGUUUAGUUCAGUAGUCAGGACACAGUCAAGUUACUAAAAAUUCCCACAAUGCACUGUGCACUAAUACUAAAUCACAUAAACGUAUUAAUAACAACAAAUGAGUUUAUUUUGGCAUAAUGAUUUUAUUUUAUUAAGCUACACACUAAAUUAAACUCGAAUGCAUUAGUAACUAACAAGAUAAUUAUUGGUCAAAAGACACCAUGAUAAUAAUAAUGAUAAUAACAAGAGGUCAUAUGUAUUAGCUAGUUACAGUUCACCCAAAAAUGAAAUUCCUGUCAUAAUUUACUCACCCUGUCGUGAGUAAACCUCGAUGAACUUCUUUCUUCUUCAAAAAGAAGGUAUUUUGAAGAUUGAUAGUUGACGGUAGCCAUUGACUUCAAUAGUAUUUUUUUUUUCCAGUGGCCAUCUCUUUGAGGAAACUUAGGUUUGCUUAAAUUAUCCAUAUUUUAGAAAAAUCAUGUUUAAGAGAUGAACAAAUAAAGCCUGAUGGAUCAUAUUUGACUCACAUUUGAUCAUCAUAUUAUUGCAUUGCAUUAUAUAUUUUACUCCCACAAUAAAACCUACAGAGCUUUGAUCAUAAAACUAAUCAAACUUUAAAUAUCAUCUUACUAAGACAUAUUAUUGGGAGAUAAAUGCAUUUUAUGUAAUAUAAAUAUCAGGAUCUGCAUUGAAUGUUUUUUUUUCCCUCCCAGAGCUCCACAUCCUCACUAUAUCAUAUUAUAGGAGUCAUAAAAACCUGAUUUUUCACAUAUGAUACUGUACUUUUUUUAUUUUUUUCUUAAGGUUUCUAUUAUUUCAUAUUUCAGGUUUUACAAGGUCAAUUAUUAGAUAUUAGAAUAUUUACCACUCAAAGAUUAUAUGAAAUACAUCUAGGCCUAUUUAAUAAUCUGGGAAAUGAAAACAAUGACUGAUAAAAAUAGACACAUUUCUUCAGUGGCGGGGGAUUAUUUGUAGCGCAGCCUCUGUGCAAUGUUUUUAUGAAUUAUUCUGUUAACACUGGAUCACGUUUGCACUUAAGUUGCAUAUUACAUUUCACUCUUAAGUAUAAACGUUUGAUGCAAAUCUUGCAGAUUAUAUACACUAAAACAGUCAGGAAGUCAUUCAUACUUUUUAUUUAGUUUUUGUAAAAUGGUGUUCUUGCACUAACAAAUUAAGAGAUGCCAGAAAAUUGCUUAUUCAGAUGUUUAUCUUUCACAAGCAAUUUCUGAUAAAAGAGAAAAAUGCACCGUGAUUGUGUUUUUCUGUAACGUACGGACUAAUCAGAAGUUUGCUUGUUGCAGGUUGUUAUAAAUAUCCAAGUGAUAUUUGAUCAUCUUUACAAUGCAAACGCAGUUGUGACAGUGUAACACACUACUGUAUGUACUGUAGCACUCGUGUAAUUGUGCAUCACUAAAACUGCUUUUAACAUGG
This is an RNA transcript of Carassius auratus (goldfish), 2915 nucleotides long. It is a transcript of the gene named tetraspanin-5-like, with no coding region annotated. The record is from RefSeq and is a predicted model, not a curated record. The transcript is spliced from 11 exons. NCBI's taxonomy places the organism in Eukaryota, Metazoa, Chordata, Actinopteri, Cypriniformes, Cyprinidae.